AAUAUUGGACAAUGGGCGCAAGCCUGAUCCAGCCAUGCCGCGUGAGUGAUGAAGCCCUUAGGGUUGUAAAGCUCUUUCACCGGGGAAGAUAAUGACGGUAUCCGGGGAAGAAGCCCCGGCUAACUCCUUGCCCGCAGCCGCGGUAAUACGAAGGGGGCUAGCGUUGUUCGGAAUUACUGGGCGUAAAGCGCACGUAGGCGGAUAUUUAGGUCAGGGGUGAAAACCCAGAGAUCAACUCUGGAACUGCCUUUGAUACUGGGUAUCUUGAGUAUGGAAGAGGUAAGUGGAAUUCCGAGUGUAGAGGUGAAAUUCGUAGAUAUUCGGAGGAACACCAGUGGCGAAGGCGGCUUACUGGUCCAUUACUGACGCUGAGGUGCGAAAGCGUGGGGAGCAAACA
Molecule: ribosomal RNA, 397 nt
Filed under: uncultured bacterium
Lineage: Bacteria
Description: partial 16S ribosomal RNA
Rfam family: Bacterial small subunit ribosomal RNA
Source: RNAcentral